GGGGGAAUUUAUUUAUUGCUUUCAGGCAGGCAGGGGAGGGUCAGUCGUCCUUCUUGUACCAGCUGUUUCUUAAGCAACUUUAAUUCAAAAUAACCAAGAUGUUAAAGUGGCACAUUUUGAGGCAGCCUGCCCUGAGCCCCGUCAAUGCCAUAGUCAAGGUAGAGCUCCAUUUUCUGAGUGGAGUUUGGGCAGAAGAAGGGGGCCCCACUUCUUAACUGCGCUCAUCUUGAACCCAACUUCUGCAACAGUUGGUAUGAGAAGAACAUGCUCGGGUCAGCACUAGUUCCAGGAGAAAAACAAGUGAGAUGUGAAGCAGAGCUGGAUCAGCUGAGUUGCCCCAGUGGAACCCUCAAUAUCAGUCAACUGCCUGCCAGCCUGCAAACAUAUAAGUCAGUCCAGCUGAGAUUAGCAGAACCAUUAAUGAGCCCAGCCUAGAUCAGCUGACCCCAGCCAAACCAGAAACACGAGCUAAAUAAAUAUUUGUUGUUGCAUGGCACUGAGGUGUUAUGGUUGACGGUUAUACUGAAUCACUGUGAAAAUAGAUAAUUGAUAUGUGGUCAGACAAAAUAAUCUCAACUAACGCUAUGUUUUAUUACAUAUUGAUGAAAAUUUCUUCUGGCCUACUAUGUGAAAAAGUUUUAUAAAUGUACUAUAAACACUUGAGAAAAAAUGAAGGGAGAAAUUGACAGCAAAAUAAUCAUAGUAGGGUAUUUCAAUAUUCCACUUCCAACAAUACAUAGAU
Molecule: long non-coding RNA, 742 nt
Filed under: Equus caballus (horse)
Lineage: Eukaryota; Metazoa; Chordata; Mammalia; Perissodactyla; Equidae
Description: lncRNA (ENSECAG00000059775.1)
Source: RNAcentral